This 72-nucleotide transfer RNA is filed under the name Phrynosoma platyrhinos (Desert horned lizard). RNAcentral describes it as "tRNA-OTHER". The record is from RNAcentral. Lineage: Eukaryota; Metazoa; Chordata; Lepidosauria; Squamata; Phrynosomatidae.
ACCAGCGUGGUGUAGUGGUUUGAGCACUGGACUAAGACUCUGGAGACCAGGGUUCGAAUCCCGGUUCAGCCA